This 710-nucleotide ribosomal RNA is filed under the name uncultured Bacilli bacterium. RNAcentral's name for it is "bacterial SSU rRNA". It matches the Rfam family "Bacterial small subunit ribosomal RNA", at positions 45 to 747 of the family's 1533-position model. Lineage: Bacteria; Bacillati; Bacillota; Bacilli. The record is from RNAcentral.
UGAUUGAACGUGCUUGCACGGACUUGACGUUGGUUUACCAGCGAGUGGCGGACGGGUGAGUAACACGUAGGUAACCUGCCCCAAAGCGGGGGAUAACAUUUGGAAACAGAUGCUAAUACCGCAUAAUAAUUUGAAUCGCAUGAUUCAAAUUUAAAAGAUGGCUUCGGCUAUCACUUUGGGAUGGACCUGCGGCGCAUUAGCUUGUUGGUAGGGUAACGGCCUACCAAGGCUGUGAUGCGUAGCCGAGUUGAGAGACUGAUCGGCCACAAUGGAACUGAGACACGGUCCAUACUCCUACGGGAGGCAGCAGUAGGGAAUCUUCCACAAUGGGCGCAAGCCUGAUGGAGCAACACCGCGUGAGUGAAGAAGGGUUUCGGCUCGUAAAGCUCUGUUGUUAGAGAAGAACGUGCGUGAGAGCAACUGUUCACGCAGUGACGGUAUCUAACCAGAAAGUCACGGCUAACUACGUGCCAGCAGCCGCGGUAAUACGUAGGUGGCAAGCGUUAUCCGGAUUUAUUGGGCGUAAAGCGAGCGCAGGCGGUUUGAUAAGUCUGAUGUGAAAGCCUUUGGCUUAACCAAAGAAGUGCAUCGGAAACUGUCAGACUUGAGUGCAGAAGAGGACAGUGGAACUCCAUGUGCAGCGGUGGAAUGCGUAGAUAUAUGGAAGAACACCAGUGGCGAAGGCGGCUGUCUGGUCUGCAACUGACGCU